RNAcentral lists this long non-coding RNA (8194 nucleotides) under Marmota monax (woodchuck). Lineage: Eukaryota; Metazoa; Chordata; Mammalia; Rodentia; Sciuridae. The record is from RNAcentral.
GCCCCUGAAGCAGCUCCAGGGAGAGUUCUGUUUAAAUAAAAGUUCUCAAACCGCAAUAAAAAGCUUUGGGGUUUACAAAAAUCCUUUCCUUUUGCUGUCCGCCCCUCCCCCGCAUAAGGCACGAUCAGAGUGAAGUAGGGGAUGAUACAGAAUCCGUGGAGCCACCCCCGGCGCCAGCGCAGGAGCAGGGGUUUGUAAGCAAUGGGGGUCCCGGAACUGCUUUCCCUCGAGGCAAGGCCGGCUCCUCCUGCGGGGGGACUUUGAAAAGGUGGCGAUGUGGCUGUGGGUAAUUGUGAGGCUGGAGGCUUAGGACGACUGAAGGGGGCCGGGAAGCGGGCUUGGGGAGGAAGGUGCAGGGGUCCGGCGGCGUUGACGGGGACAGAGCCCUCCCAGGCCUCCGCCCGGGACAGUCCCUACAAGUGGGUGUUUUCAUGCCGUGACUCCCAAAUAACCCGGGGGCUUCUCGAAUGAGUCAAACCGUGUGCUGUCCACUGAGCGCCGAGGCGCAGGGUUUGGCUCCGGGAGAAACCAUUUUGUUCCUGCCGUUUGCUUGCUAACGCCCAGUUACAAAAUGGAGAUUAAGCCAUUUCAAACCCAAUCCGACCUUCCUCCAAAGGACUGUAAACUACCUACGGUACCGAGAAAACAUGAAAGGUGGUUUUGAGAGCUAAUUUUAGACGUCCCAAGGAAUAGUUUCUGUGAACUUCUGGAUAAAGGACUUAAAUGUAAUAGUCAUUUCUUUAAUUAGCCUAAAUUGUAAGCUUAAAUCUACUUGCAAGUGGUUCUUAAGUAUUUCUGGGUAUUAGUUUUCAUUCAAGUUCCAUACAUUGUAAAGAAAAAUCCAGAAAGUUUAGAAGUCAGUCUAUUUUUAGUCCUGCAGAGGAACUAUUUUUGCUUCCCUCACAAAGGUGGCGGAGGGCUACUUGGUUCCGGCUGUGUGAGUUGUCAGUGGCCUAUAAAUACGCCUCUCCCGGCUCUGCGGCAGGCAUUCAGGCAGCGAGCGCAGAGAGAGCACAGGAGGUGGCAGCGCAGCUUGAGGAAGCGACAGAUAAGUUUUUCUAUCUGAAAAGAAAAGAUAGUGACUAGGAUAAUUUUAUCAGACAUAAAUAGGGAAUAGCUUUCUAAAAUAAUGCUUAGCGUUAAGUUCUUGAAGUAAUUUUAAUGCCAUUUAAAAAGAUUUUGAGGAAACUAGGCUUUAAAAGCUUGAGUAAAGAAGAAAAGUGUUUGUACAUGGCAGAUUGAGGCGAAGCUUCUUAAUAGAGUAAAAAAAGGAUUUGAAAGAAGUUGUCUAGAGGAUUGCAGAGUCCUUAAUAAAAGCCUUUAGUUGAAGUGCAGCCGUGUAAACUAACAUUAAAGCGAUUUAAACAGAAUCUAAGCCUCGUUUAAAAGAGUGAAGCUGUAGGUGGUGAAAAGUCAUUUAAAAGUAUAGUAUAGGUGAUAAUUGGAAGGCUUUAAAAGGUUAAAUUGAAGGUGGUUAAGAUGCCUUCAUGGCGGAGGAAUGAUUUGCGUCAUUCGAAGCCUAGUUAAUCUUAAAAGCAUUACUUAAAAAAAACCCCAUGAAAAUGGGAAGAUAAUAGGUUAAAAGCAAUUUGGAGAAAGAAGAUUAGAAAUUUGAAGUGGAAAACUUUGAAGACAGAAGUACAGGAAGGUGAAGAAGAGAUAGAGAAGAUGUAGGAAGACAAGAAUUUUAAACCCACAAAAUAGGAAGCAAAAGAAAACUAGGAGGAAAAAAGCAACUAAGGGUGAAUGUACAAACCUUAGAAGAAAACUAGAAGAUAGAAACAAGAUAGAAAAUGGUUGAAAAUGUCAAGUAAAGGUAUUUCAGAUAGAAAAUGCAAGAAGCUAAGACAUCUGUUGGAUACAGACAUUCAAGAUAGAAAAAGGUAGAAGAGAAGUUUGAAGUUGAAUAUUGGAUAAAAUAGAACAACAAGGAAACUAUUAGUAAUUUUUUCAAAAAGCCCAUCAACUUUAAUUUCUGGUGGUGCAGAAAUUAGAAGUCUCAGAUGAGGGUGUUCAAAUUUGUAGACGAGCCAAUUUAGAAAACGUUAAACUAGAAGGAAAUUGGUUUAAAACCACAUCAAAAAAUUAAAAGGACUAAAGUAAUUCUAAAAACUAAGGCAGAAUGCUUUUGGAAGACUUGAAUUUAAAAGGCUUUAGAUCCAGUAGUUUAGUUUGCUUUGAAAAAUAUAAAGGACUUUGAUUACUCAAGUAUUUCAAGAUCAAGAAUAAUGUGUUUGCAUUGGACUUUGAGCUAAGAUGAUUUGUAAAAUUAUGAGGACUAGCGUUAAUUGGCAGCUGACCCAGGUGCUACACAGAAGUGGAUGCAGUGAACCUAGGAAGACAGGAUUCCAGGAGCCAGUGUUUGAAGCUAGGACUGAGGAGCAAGCAGCAGUUCGUGGUGAAGAUAGGAAGGAGUCCAGGAACCGGUGCGGUUUGGUGAAGGAAGCUAGGAAGAAGGAAGGAGCCCUAACGAUUUGUGGUGAAGCUAGGAAGGCAUUCGAGGAAGGAGCAGCCAGUGCGAUUUGGUGCUGAAGCUAGCUGGCGUCUUUGGCUUGUCAACUACCGCGGAGGAGGCGAGCAUGCAUUGUGGAGAAUAGCUAGCCGACCCUAGACCAGCAUGGCAGUUUGCAAGGCUCCGGGGAGAGCGAGUGGUGUGGUAAAAGUCCGGGCGGUCGGCGAUGUCGUUUAUAUUGUAACUUGAGCGUGGUAACUUUAUUUACUUGUUUCCUAAUGAUAAUGGGGGAGUUGUACCUCUGGAGAGGGAUUUUCGUGGGGGUGUGUGUAUGCAUAUAGGCCGAUUUCCGGGUGUUGUAGGUUUUUCUUUUUCAGGCUUAUGUUCUCAUCUUUGUCUGAAGCUUUUGAGGGCAGACUGCCAAGGCCUCCAGAAAUGGUAGAUGGCAAGUUUUUUUUUUCCACCAGUGUGAAGGAAAAGUGAAUUUUACAGAACAUACAACUUCAAGCAGCUUGUGUUUUUAGUUGGCAAUGAAGUAUUUGGUGAAUAGAUGACUUAUUUUCUUUUUCCUCACCCUGAAUUAGUUUUGUAAAUGAGUCUGGGUGUUAAUUGGGGGGGAAGUUUUUCUUUUUUGUGGUGGGGAUGGCGAAAUGUUUUUGAGUUUUUUUCCCCUUAGGUCUUUCUAGACUCCUAAAGGCAAAUGACUCCAGGUAACAGAAAAAGAAAAUCCAGUAUCAGGAUAAUCAGAACACCACAGGUUUACAAUUUCUAGAAACUAGAUCCACGAGUAGCUCUCACUUUGGAGGAGCUGUCCUUUGGAGAAAUGGCUGGUAGUUAACUCUUUCUUUCCCCCCUUAAUCAGACUUCUAAAGUGUUUUAACCCCUUAAACUUAUUAUUACUGAAAGUAUUUGGGGAUGGUCUUUAACAGGGAAGAGAGGGGGUGGGGGAGCAAAUGUUUUCUUUCUAAGAUUUUCCACAGAUGCUAUAGUACUAUUGGCAAACUGGUUAGAGAAGGCAUGUACUGCUAUGCUGUUGGCACGAACACCUUCAGGGAUUGGAGCAGCUUUUAUCCUUGGAAGAGUUUUCCCAAUUGAAGCUGAAAAGUACAGCACAGUGCAGCUUUGGUUCAUAAUCAGUCAACUCAGGAGAACUUCAGAAGCGCUUGACUAGGCCAAAUGUUGAAGUUAAGUUUCCAAAGUAAUUUAAAAUACUCAUUAAAGGGGAGGGGAAAUUUUUGGCAAUUAGUUGGCAGUGGUCUAUUGUGGUUGGGGUGGGGGGGUUAGGUAAUUGUUUAGUUUAUGAUUUCAGAUAAUUCAUGCCAGAGAACUUUAAAUACUUAGGAUGGAAAACUAAAGAACUCUACUUCCAAGUUGGCAAGUAACUCCCAAUCAUUUAGUUUUUUUCCACCAAUUUUGGAAUUGGGCAUCCUGGGAAGAUUUCACUGGGUGUACCAGUGCAUUAUUAAUUUCGGCAAGGAUAGUAAAUCAUGGUAUGGUAUCUGUUCCCCUGUGUAGGUCUUGGGGAAGUGUUGGAUUGGGGGUUGGUCUAGCUUAUUGGAAUGACAUUGAAUAGCAACAGUCUUGGGGAAUUUUAAAGCUUAAUUUUGGAUAUAGAUGGUAGUGUGUGGUUCUCUUUUGGAAUUUUUUUCAGGUGAUUUAAUGUAACUUAAUACUACUAUAGGAACUUCAGAGCAAAGGAAGUGGCUUAAUGAUCCUGAAGGGAUUUCUUCUGAUGGUAGCUUUUAUAUUAUCAAGUAAGAUCCUGUUUUCAGUUGUGUGAGCAAGUUUUUCUAGUGUAGGAAAAUUUUUUCCUUUGGCAAAACAAGAUGUAAAGGUAUGAAAUUUUGUGAAUUGUAUCUUAAACUUGUAACUAUUUGUAAAUCAUAACUUAUUAAGAAUUGUGAUACUUAAAUGUCUCUUAGAGGGUGGGCAUUUGAUGAGGGAGGGGAAACCUUUUUUUUCUGUAGACUUUUUUCAGAUAACAUCCACUGAGUCAUAACAAGCCUGGCAGUAUGAUGGCCUAGAUGCAGAGGGAACAGCUCCUUGGUGAAUGAUAAGUAAAGGCAGAAAAGAUUAUGUCAUACCUCCAUUGGGGAAUAAGCAUAACCCUGAGAUCUUACUACUGAUGAAAAUAUUGUCUGCAUAUAAAAAAGAGAAAGCUACCAAUUUAAAGUUUUAUGGAAUCUACCAUUUAAAAAUUAUGGCUUAUUGAGCUAUAUUCUCAAAAGAAUUGAUGAAACAUGAAGAUCAAAUGUCCAUCUCAAAACACUGCUUUUACAAAAGCAGAAUAAAAUGGAAAGAAAUGAAAAUGAUUAUACUACAUUGUUCCUGAAGUAAAAGAAGCUGAAAUAAUUGAGUUGGGAUCAAGUGGAUAUGAAAGGAGGCUGUGCUGUGUGCCAAUCUUUCGUUUGCCUCAGACAGGUUUCUCUUCCGUUAUCAGAAGAGUUGCUUCAUUUCAUCUGGGAGCAGAAAACAGCAGGCAGCUGUUCACAGAUAAGUUUAACUUGCAUCUGCAGUAUUGCAUGGUUAGGGAUAAGUGCUUAUUUAUAAGAAGGUGUUGAACCUGGCACUCUUUCCUGACCCCUUCCUUAGGGGGAUAUCAGGAUUGUGAGACAUUUCCCCAUCUAGCCUUUUUAAAUUGUGCCUUGUGCCUGUGGGCUUCCAUGAUAGGAUGGUAUACCUCACUCAGAGGCAUUUGCACCAUAAUUCCUUAAAAGCCUCUUAAGUGACCAGUGCCUUAGUCAUAAUGCUUAAUAAAACAAAGGAAAUAUUUUUAACAUUGAAUCUAUAAAACCCUAAAAGGGAUAGCAUAAUAUACUGUUAAGAGUCAGCUAUGUUAAUUUUGAUAAAAUUUUCAUGUUACCUUACAAUGUAUAUCGUGCCUAAAACCAUUAAAUCGUAUAAAUUAAUAAAAUAUUUUAUUAGAGAAUGUAUGCUUUUAGAAAGCUGUCUCCUUAUUUAAAUAAAAUAUUGUUUGUAGUUAGUGUUGGGGCAAUCUUGGGGGGUAUUCUUCUCUAAUCUUUCAGAAACUUUGUCUUCGAACACUUUAAUGGACAAGAUCAGAAUUGAGCGGAAGACCGAAUUUUAACUUUAAGGCAGGAAAGACCAAUUUUAUUCUUCAUAAAAUGAUGAGCAUUUAAUUAAUAAUUCCAGGCACAUGACAAUAGAGACCCUUAAAUAAGGAAUAAAUACCUUUUAGACAGGUGGGAGAUACAGAUCAGAAUAAAAGGUAACUACACAUUUUGUUUCCAGAUAGCCAGGGGUCUAUAAGUUGACAGUGAUUAAACUAGAAUAAGAUGAUUUUUCCACAUUUCCAUAGUUUGCAUGUUAACUUUAAAUGCUUAUAAUCAUCUCAUCAAUUGUUGGCAAAUGUUUUACACAAUUCAGCUAGGCAUUGGGGGCAUGUGGGUUUUUUAAGAAUUUUCCUUUGCAGAGGCAUUUCAUCCUUCAUGAAGCUGUUCAGGAUUUUGACUUGCAUAUGAGUGCUUGGCUCUGCCUUCUGCUAGUGAGUGUGAGACCUUGCAGUGAGUGUAUCAGUAUACUCAAAUUUUCCUGGAAUUUGGAGGGAAGGGAGGAGGGGAUGGGGCUUACUUGUUUUAGCUUCUUUUUUUACAGACUACAGAGAAAAUGCAGUUGUCUUGACCUCAGGUCUGUCUAUUCUUUUGGCAAGUAAUAAUGCAGUACUGUUCUGAUCUGCUGCUAUUAGAAUGCAUUGUGAAACGACUGGAGUAUGAUUAAAAAUGUGUGUUUCCCCAAUGCUUGGAGUAGUGAUUGUUGAAGGAAAAUCCAUGAGUGAUAAAAAAGGCUGAGUGUUGAGGAAAUUUCUGCAGCUUUAAGUAAUCCAUGUUUGUGAUUGAAGCCAAGUACCUUUUGCUGUGCUGCUUUAGGUAAAAUGCUUUUUGUUCUUUCUGGUAGGGGGGUGGGGGGACACUGAAGCCUUUAGUCUUUUUCAGAUUCCACCUUAAAAUCAGUGACAAGAAUAAAUUCAAACAAGCAACUCUUCAAGAAAUUUUACUGGCAAGUGGAAAUGUUUUGAACAGUUCAGUAGUCGUCAGUGCAUUGUCUUUGUGUGGGUUUCUCUCCCCCUCCCCUUGGUCUUAAUUCUUACAUACAGGAACAUUGAGAACAGCAGACAUACGUAUGCGAAGGGCCAGAGAAGCCAGACUCAGUAAGGAAAAAAUAGCCUAUCUACUUUAAAUAAACAAAUCAAAUAUUUCAUUUUAAAUGUGGGGAUUGGGAACUACUAGUCUUUCAGAUGGUAUUCUUCAGACUAUAAAAGGAACUUCCAGUUGAUUUCACCAGUGGACAAAUUGAGGACAACAGGUGAAUAAGCUUUUUCUAUUUUUACAUACAAAGAUCAGUUAUGGGUAAAUGACUCAGUGUUGAACAGACUUCAGCUUUAUGCUGGAGUCAGUAGCAUGUGAUCAAGUUGUGUGUUGGCCUUGGGGGUGGAGGGGUGAGGUGGGCGCUAAGCCUUUUUUUAAGAUUUUUCAGGUACCCCUCACUAAGGCAUCGAAGGCUUAAAGUAGGACAACUGGAGCCUUCCUGUGGCAAGAGAGACAACAAAGCGCUAUUAUACUAAGGUCAAGAGUGGUUUCGGCCUCAACCUAAUUUUUAUUAGCAAUGAGGACUUGCCUCAACACCUUCUGGCAUGCAGCAUCCAGAAGAAUGCUCCUGGGCUUACCUUAAUAUUUGAAUAGCUGUUUUUAUAGCAGCUUAUGAAAAAGCCCAGAUCUCAAGUGGUGUUUGAGGGGAGGGAAAGGGGGAAAGCGGGCAACCAGUUUUCCCUAGCUUUUCCAGAACCUGUUUAAAGCAAGGUCUCCCCACAAGUGACUUCUCUGCCACAUCGCCACCCCCUGCCUUUGGCCUAGCACAGACCCUUCACCUCUCACCUCGAUGCAGCCAGUAGCUUGGAUCCUUGUGGGCAUGCUGCAUAAUCGGUUUCAAGGUAACCAUGGUGCUGAGGUCUGGUGGGUUGCACUACUUUAGAAGAGGCCGCUAAUCUAUAAAUUUUUAACAGAAUAUUUAAACCACAGAAAUAGCUGGUUUUUAUGUAUAUACACUUAUCCAGUGACUAAAACCAACUUAAACCAGUACAUAGAGAAAUGUCAAGAAUGUAAUAUUGGGUGGGAACAUGACUUGUCAGCUUAAGAUAGGCUUUAGCAGUGGAGAGGACUGCUGGGUGGGAUUGCAAAAAUUCUCUGCUAAGACUUUUUCAGGUGAAUAUAACAGACUUGGCCAAGCUAGCAUCUUAGCGGAAGCAGAUUCUCCAGUGCUCUUCAGUAGGGUUGUAAAAGGUUUUUCUUUUCCUGAGAAAACAAAUUUUUGUUUUCUCAGGUUUUGCUUUUUGGCCUUUCCCUAGCUUAAAAAAAAAAGCAAAAGAUGCUGGUGGUUGGCACUCCUGGCUUCCAGGACGGGGUUCAAAUCCCUGCAGCGUCUUUGCUUAAUUCUUAAUAUCUGUCUUUAGGAGGUGCUGUCUCAGAAGGUGGGAAUGCCUCAGAACUAUACAUAGCUUUUUUUUGUUGUUGUUGUUAACACAUAUUUUUUAGUUGUAGAUGGACAUAAUACCUGUAUGCCUCAUGCAUGCUAGGCAAGCACUGUACCACUGAGCCACAACCCCAACCCUAUACAUAGCUUUGUUGUUUGUCUGAAGUCUGACUGGGUUGUAGAUUGUUUUCAUGUGAGUACCUGAUAACUGUUGUCUUUUUCAGGUAAUCCUGCAUCUAGUGCUUGGAUAAGCCC